Molecule: long non-coding RNA, 311 nt
Organism: Ornithodoros turicata
Lineage: Eukaryota; Metazoa; Arthropoda; Arachnida; Ixodida; Argasidae
Exons: 4
Source: RefSeq, a predicted model, not a curated record
GUCAGUAGAAGACUUCGGGACGAUGCUGUGCCAUCGCUACGACUUCCCAAGGAUUGCGAUGAUCCACCGUCAAAACGUCGUGCUGUUUCGCUCACAUCUCUGGAAACAGCAGAGUGCAAGUUACAACUGCAAGCACAGCACAAAAACCCCACGCCGUGCAAGUUGGUGACACAGGGAUCAAGCCUAAGCCAUAGACCACUGAUGCCAAAGCAAGUGCAGCCUUUGAUCAACCCGUCACUAUCCUCUGUACAAAUGCUCUCUGCAAUGCAAGCCAGUACAGUCAUGCACCGGAAUGAAGGUGCCACAACAUC